This 457-nucleotide ribosomal RNA is filed under the name uncultured bacterium. Its description in RNAcentral is "bacterial SSU rRNA". It matches the Rfam family "Bacterial small subunit ribosomal RNA", at positions 340 to 784 of the family's 1533-position model. The record is from RNAcentral.
UACGGAAGGCAGCAGUGGGGAAUAUUGCACAAUGGGCGAAAGCCUGAUGCAGCUAUGCCGCGUGUAUGAAGAAGGCCUUAGGGUUGUAAAGUACUUUCAUCGGGGAGGAAAAAACAAAACUAAUAAUUUUUAUUUCUUGACGUUACCCGAAAAAGAAGCACCGGCUAACUCCGUGCCAGCAGCCGCGGUAAUACGGAGGGUGCUAGCGUUAAUCAGAAUUACUGGGCGUAAAGAGCACGUAGGUGGUUUUUUUAAAGUCAGAUGUGAAAUCCCUGGGCUUAACCUAGGAACUGCAUUUUGAAACUGAAAUACUAGAGUAUCGUAGAGGGAGGUAGAAUUCUAGGUGUAGCGGUGAAAUGCGUAGAUAUCUGGAGGAAUACCUGUGGCGAAAGCGGCCUCCUAAACGAAUACUGACACUGAGGUGCGAAAGCGUGGGGAGCAAAACAGGGAUUAGGAU